Ictidomys tridecemlineatus (thirteen-lined ground squirrel) is the source of this 71-nucleotide non-coding RNA. NCBI's taxonomy places the organism in Eukaryota, Metazoa, Chordata, Mammalia, Rodentia, Sciuridae. The record is from Rfam.
GCGGUUGUGGCUCAGUGGUAGAGCACUCGCCUAGCAUGUUGGAAGCCCUGGGUUCGAUCCUCAGCACCACA